Molecule: ribosomal RNA, 203 nt
Filed under: uncultured bacterium
Lineage: Bacteria
Description: partial 16S ribosomal RNA
Rfam family: Bacterial small subunit ribosomal RNA
Source: RNAcentral
UGAAGGCUGAAAUUCGCCUUCAUGAAGCCGGAAUUGCUAGUAAUGGCAGGUCAGCAUACUGCCGUGAAUACGUUCCCGGGCCUUGUACACACCGCCCGUCACACCAUGAGAGCCGGGAACACCCGAAGUCCGUAGUCUAACCUAUAUGGAGGACGCGGCCGAAGGUGGGUUUGGUAAUUGGGGUGAAGUCGUAACAAGGUAUC